AUGGUGCAAGUGGCUAGUGGCUGCAUGGGGGACUCUGAGGAAAGACUGCUGAUCCUAUUUCCAGAAGAUCUGCUUUUCCUCUCUGUGGAUAAGGACAGAACUGCAAUCACAUACAAGGGAAAACUCCCCCUAAAUGGAAUCCAGGCAAAGGAGAAAUCCGCCAUGCUGGGGAGGUUACAGUUUGAAAUUACAGGAAGACUGACAGAACCAAUCCUUAUCACCUGUUCCACAGCAGAAGAUUAUGAAAAAUGCCUCUUCUACCUACAAAAGCCAGAGAAAAUCCUUGAUCGUCUGACUCUCCAGCCACCACCAAUCAUCCCUAAGAAAUCUCGGCAACAUCGGUAGGAAAUUAGCAUGCAGCGACAAGAAGAAGGUAUGUUGAAUACGAUCCCAAGAAAAAGCAAAGAAGCUGCAACAACGAGUAAGAAGAGACCAGAAAUUGGAAACCAACCUUCUUUCAGACCGAGAGGUGAAUAAGGGUCUGCACAAGAACUGUUCUCCACUGGCUGCUCUUUUGAAUGGGACAUUGCAAUCAAUGUAGGAUCUUGUGAUUCUGACCUCAGCUGUACAUAUGCCUUAAGGAAAAAUCUUUCUGAAUUUUUUUUUACUAUACUUAUUGCCUGACUCUUACCAGAAAAAGAAACACUAUAAAAUACUAUGUAAAUGCUACAAAUAAAACUUAGGUUUACCUGAACCUAAACCAUGCAUAGAAAGGAGCAUUCAGGUAACUGUUGGUUUGCAGAGCCAUUGACUUCCUUUGAAACAGCAGGCACAGUGCAAUUCUUGAUGGUGAACAGUCUUUUUUCUAUAGCUUUUCUUCUCUGCCAAAAUAAAGAAGAAAUGUUAAUCCUGGAAGUUUUUGCAAACCAAAAACUGUUUCCC
Molecule: long non-coding RNA, 882 nt
Filed under: Accipiter nisus (Eurasian sparrowhawk)
Lineage: Eukaryota; Metazoa; Chordata; Aves; Accipitriformes; Accipitridae
Description: lncRNA (ENSANIG00000008542.1)
Source: RNAcentral